This 492-nucleotide ribosomal RNA is filed under the name uncultured bacterium. RNAcentral's name for it is "partial 16S ribosomal RNA". It matches the Rfam family "Bacterial small subunit ribosomal RNA", at positions 29 to 507 of the family's 1533-position model. The record is from RNAcentral.
AGCGAACGCUGGCGGUAGGCCUAACACAUGCAAGUCGAACGGCAGCACAGUAAGAGCUUGCUCUUACGGGUGGCGAGUGGCAGACGGGUGAGGAAUACAUCGGAAUCUACUUUUUCGUGGGGGAUAACGUAGGGAAACUUACGCUAAUACCGCAUACGACCUACGGGUGAAAGCAGGGGAUCUUCGGACCUUGCGCGAUUGAAUGAGCCGAUGUCGGAUUAGCUAGUUGGCGGGGUAAAGGCCCACCAAGGCGACGAUCCGUAGCUGGUCUGAGAGGAUGAUCAGCCACAAUGGAACUGAGACACGGUCCAGACUCCUACGGGAGGCAGCAGUGGGGAAUAUUGGACAAUGGGCGCAAGCCUGAUCCAGCCAUACCGCGUGGGUGAAGAAGGCCUUCGGGUUGUAGAGCCCUUUUGUUGGGAAAGAAAAGCAGCAGGUUAAUACCCCGCUGUUCUGACGGUACCCAAAUAAUAAGCACCGGCUAACUUCGUG